AACGAACGCUGGCGGCAGGCCUAACACAUGCAAGUCGAACGCCCUGGCAACAGGGAGUGGCAGACGGGUGAGUAACGCGUGGGAACGUGCCCUUCGGUUCGGAAUAACUCAGGGAAACUUGAGCUAAUACCGGAUACGUGCGAGAGCAGAAAGAUUUAUCGCCGAAGGAUCGGCCCGCGUCCGAUUAGCUAGUUGGUGAGGUAACGGCUCACCAAGGCGACGAUCGGUAGCUGGUCUGAGAGGAUGAUCAGCCACACUGGGACUGAGACACGGCCCAGACUCCUACGGGAGGCAGCAGUGGGGAAUAUUGGACAAUGGGCGCAAGCCUGAUCCAGCCAUGCCGCGUGAGUGAUGAAGGCCCUAGGGUUGUAAAGCUCUUUCGCCAGGGACGAUAAUGACGGUAUCCGGAGAAGAAGCCCCGGCUAACUUCGUGCCAGCCGCCGCUGUAA
This 449-nucleotide ribosomal RNA is filed under the name uncultured bacterium. RNAcentral describes it as "partial 16S ribosomal RNA". It matches the Rfam family "Bacterial small subunit ribosomal RNA", at positions 29 to 523 of the family's 1533-position model. The record is from RNAcentral.